AGAGUUUGAUCAUGGCUCAGAUUGAACGCUGGCGGCAUGCCUAACACAUGCAAGUCGAACGGUAACAGGCCUUCGGGCGCUGACGAGUGGCGGACGGGUGAGUAAUGCAUAGGAAUUUGCCUCGAAGUGGGGGAUAGCCCGGAGAAAUCCGGAUUAAUACCGCAUAUGUUCUACGGAACAAAGUGGGCCUCUGAUUUAAGCUCAUGCUUUGAGAUAAGCCUAUGUCGGAUUAGCUUGUUGGUAGGGUAAAAGCCUACCAAGGCGACGAUCCGUAGCUGGUUUGAGAGGAUGAUCAGCCACACUGGGACUGAGAUACGGCCCAGACUCCUACGGGAGGCAGCAGUGGGGAAUAUUGGACAAUGGGCGCAAGCCUGAUCCAGCAAUGCCGCGUGUGUGAAGAAGGCCUGCGGGUUGUAAAGCACUUUUAUCGGGAAAGAAAUCUUUGGGGUUAAUACCUCCAAGGCUUGACGGUACCCGAGGAAUAAGCACCGGCUAACUCAGUGCCAGCAGCCGCGGUAAUACUGAGGGUGCAAGCGUUAAUCGGAAUUACUGGGCGUAAAGCGAGUGUAGGCGGCUUCGUAAGUCGGAUGUGAAAGCCCUGGGCUUAACCUGGGAAUGCCACUCGAAACUGCGAAGCUAGAGUUUGAUAGAGGGAAGUGGAAUUCCAGGUGUAGCGGUGAAAUGCGUAGAUAUCUGGAGGAACAUCAGUGGCGAAGGCGGCUUCCUGGAUCAAAACUGACGCUGAGGCUCGAAAGCGUGGGGAGCAAACAGGAUUAGAUACCCUGGUAGUCCACGCCCUAAACGAUGUCAACUAGACGUUGGCCCCAUUUAAGGGGUUAGUGUCGAAGCUAACGCGUUAAGUUGACCGCCUGGGGAGUACGGUCGCAAGGCUAAAACUCAAAGGAAUUGACGG
This 913-nucleotide ribosomal RNA is filed under the name uncultured bacterium. RNAcentral's name for it is "bacterial SSU rRNA". It matches the Rfam family "Bacterial small subunit ribosomal RNA", at positions 8 to 916 of the family's 1533-position model. The record is from RNAcentral.